AGAGUUUGAUCCUGGCUCAGGAUGAACGCCGGCGGUGUGCCUAAUACAUGCAAGUCGUACGCACUGGCCCAACUGAUUGAUGGUGCUUGCACCUGAUUGACGUUGGAUCACCAGUGAGUGGCGGACGGGUGAGUAACACGUAGGUAACCUGCCCCGGAGCGGGGGAUAACAUUUGGAAACAGAUGCUAAUACCGCAUAACAACAAAAGCCACAUGGCUUUUGUUUGAAAGAUGGCUUUGGCUAUCACUCUGGGAUGGACCUGCGGUGCAUUAGCUAGUUGGUAAGGUAACGGCUUACCAAGGCGAUGAUGCAUAGCCGAGUUGAGAGACUGAUCGGCCACAAUGGAACUGAGACACGGUCCAUACUCCUACGGGAGGCAGCAGUAGGGAAUCUUCCACAAUGGGCGCAAGCCUGAUGGAGCAACACCGCGUGAGUGAAGAAGGGUUUCGGCUCGUAAAGCUCUGUUGUUGGAGAAGAACGUGCGUGAGAGUAACUGUUCACGCAGUGACGGUAUCCAACCAGAAAGUCACGGCUAACUACGUGCCAGCAGCCGCGGUAAUACGUAGGUGGCAAGCGUUAUCCGGAUUUAUUGGGCGUAAAGCGAGCGCUGGCGGUUGCUUAGGUCUGAUGUGAAAGCCUUCGGCUUAACCGAAGAAGUGCAUCGGAAACCGGGCGACUUGAGUGCAGAAGAGGACAGUGGAACUCCAUGUGUAGCGGUGGAAUGCGUAGAUAUAUGGAAGAACACCAGUGGCGAAGGCGGCUGUCUGGUCUGCAACUGACGCUGAGGCUCGAAAGCAUGGGUAGCGAACAGGAUUAGAUACCCUGGUAGUCCAUGCCGUAAACGAUGAGUGCUAGGUGUUGGAGGGUUUCCGCCCUUCAGUGCCGGAGCUAACGCAUUAAGCACUCCGCCUGGGGAGUACGACCGCAAGGUUGAAACUCAAAGGAAUUGACGGGGGCCCGCACAAGCGGUGGAGCAUGUGGUUUAAUUCGAAGCUACGCGAAGAACCUUACCAGGUCUUGACAUCUUGCGCUAACCUUAGAGAUAAGGCGUUCCCUUCGGGGACGCAAUGACAGGUGGUGCAUGGUCGUCGUCAGCUCGUGUCGUGAGAUGUUGGGUUAAGUCCCGCAACGAGCGCAACCCUUGUUACUAGUUGCCAGCAUUAAGUUGGGCACUCUAGUGAGACUGCCGGUGACAAACCGGAGGAAGGUGGGGACGACGUCAGAUCAUCAUGCCCCUUAUGACCUGGGCUACACACGUGCUACAAUGGACGGUACAACGAGUCGCAAGCUCGCGAGAGUAAGCUAAUCUCUUAAAGCCGUUCUCAGUUCGGACUGUAGGCUGCAACUCGCCUACACGAAGUCGGAAUCGCUAGUAAUCGCGGAUCAGCAUGCCGCGGUGAAUACGUUCCCGGGCCUUGUACUCACCGCCCGUCA
RNAcentral lists this ribosomal RNA (1434 nucleotides) under uncultured bacterium. RNAcentral describes it as "bacterial SSU rRNA". It matches the Rfam family "Bacterial small subunit ribosomal RNA". The record is from RNAcentral.